This is an RNA transcript of Vitis riparia (riverbank grape), 1639 nucleotides long. It is a transcript of the gene named enoyl-[acyl-carrier-protein] reductase, mitochondrial, with no coding region annotated. The transcript has 11 exons. The record is from RefSeq and is a predicted model, not a curated record. Lineage: Eukaryota; Viridiplantae; Streptophyta; Magnoliopsida; Vitales; Vitaceae.
GGGAUUCAAACCCUCUGGCAAGGCAAAAGAAGGGCGGAAUGGCGUUGGUGAGGUUAGCAACCGCGAGAACCCACUAUGGCUCGUCGUUUCUUUGUCUUAGGUCAGCAUCUCUGCCCCGGUGUUGGAGCCAAAUUCGAGCCUUCUCGGCCGCUAUGUCGCCGCCGUCAUCGGCGGUGGUGUAUGAGCACCAUGGACCACCGGAGAGUGUGACCAGAGUGGUUGAGCUACCUCCAGUUGAGGUUAAAGAGAACGAUUUCUGCGUUAAAAUGCUCGCUGCUCCCAUCAAUCCUUCCGAUAUUAAUAGGAUCGAAGGUGUUUACCCUGUGAGACCACAAGUUCCAGCAGUAGGAGGAUAUGAGGGAGUUGGAGAAGUACACUCUUUGGGCUCUGCAGUUAAGGGACUUUCUCCUGGUGAUUGGGUGAUCCCAUCUCCUCCCUCUUCUGGAACAUGGCAGACAUAUGUUGUGAAAGAGCAGAGUGUCUGGCACAAAAUUAAUAAAGAUGUGCCUAUGGAAUAUGCGGCCACUGUUACUAUUAAUCCUUUGACCGCACUAAGAAUGCUUGAAGACUUUGGCAAUCUAAAUCCAGGUGAUGCUAUUGUGCAAAAUGGGGCUACAAGCAUUGUGGGCCAGUGCAUCAUUCAGCUUGCACAAAUUCGUGGCAUCCACAGCAUUAAUAUAAUAAGAGACAGGGUUGGAUCAGAUGAAGUAAAAGAAAAACUUAAGGGGCUUGGUGCUGAUGAAGUGUUCACUGAGAGUCAAUUGGAAGUUAAGAAUGUCAAAGGCCUCCUGGCUAAUUUACCGGAACCUGCUUUGGGAUUCAACUGUGUUGGUGGCAAUCCUGCCACUUUGGUUCUCAAAUUCUUGAGGCAGGGGGGAACUAUGGUAACAUAUGGUGGAAUGUCUAAGAAACCUAUCACUGUUUCAACUUCAUCUUUCAUUUUUAAGGAUCUUUCCUUGAGGGGAUUCUGGCUGCAGAAAUGGAUGAGUUCAGAUAAAGCAAAGGAGUCCAGAAAGAUGAUAGAUUACCUUUUGGGGCUCACACAAGAGGGAAAGAUAAAAUACGAGAUGGAGCUGGUUCCUUUCAGCAAUUUUCAUGCUGCUUUGGAUAAGGCCCUUGGAAAAUUUGGAAGCCAACCCAAACAAGUCAUAAAAUUCUAAUCCCAAAGUGGGAACUGAGGUAGGUGUUUCUGAAGUUUUAGAGGGAAUUGGGGUGCAAGACUACAGGAAUUGGCAGACAGCACUUCAAACUCCCUUUUUUUUUUUAACAAAUGGGAUUUUGUGGAUCUUCCGAGGGUGCAACUUUUGAAGCAAUAUGUAGUCAAGUAAUAAUGCAAAGGGUUAUUUGCAAAUGGAUGGAUGUCUGGCAUAUAUCUAGCGUUAGAGACGUGAGAGAUACAAGUGCUGAAUAAUGAAGAUUUCAUCCACCCAUGACGAAGCUUGUUUUGAAUCAAAACUGGAUCCUGCCAGUUUCACCUCUCAAAAAAGGUGAAUUACAUUCUCAGUUGAAUGACCCCAGUCCAGUUCUCCAUAUAGGCCAUAUAGUUUUCCAAGAAAUCCUCUCCAGCCCACAUCCCUAUAGGGCCAAGGAACUGGAACGUUAUUUCUAAAUAAACAUUUCCCUAUUACUUUUCCUUUUA